ACCAGCACCCCGAGUGGUCGGGACGAUUAUUGGGCCUAAAGCAUCCGUAGCCGGUUCUACAAGUCUUCCGUUAAAUCCACCUGCUUAACAGUUGGGCUGCAGAGGAUACUAUAGAGCUAGGAGGCGGGAGAGGCAAGCGGUACUUAGUGGGUAGGGGUAAAAUCCGUUGAUCCACUGAAGACCACCAGUGGCGAAGGCGGCUUGCCAGAACGCGCUCGACGGUGAGGGAUGAAAGCUGGGGGAGCAAACCGGAUUAGAUACCCUUGUAGUCC
Molecule: ribosomal RNA, 272 nt
Filed under: uncultured bacterium
Lineage: Bacteria
Description: partial 16S ribosomal RNA
Rfam family: Archaeal small subunit ribosomal RNA
Source: RNAcentral